This 298-nucleotide unclassified non-coding RNA is filed under the name Hevea brasiliensis (rubber tree). The record is from RNAcentral. Lineage: Eukaryota; Viridiplantae; Streptophyta; Magnoliopsida; Malpighiales; Euphorbiaceae.
UAAUUGACCAAUUAUUUUAUAUGAAGCCUCAUUCGAAAGGAAUAUGUUUGUCAAGACAACUGACUCUAUACUCUUUUUUUUUUACUACAAUUGGGAGUGUUGUUAGGCAGAGAAUCAUUGGAUUAUCAAAAUCAUCGAAUUAUGUAUGGUGAGGUUAUCACCAAGCUUCAUAACGUUUCUCUAGCAUGGUCACUGCAGGAUGGAGUUCAGAGUAAUCUCUCAUGAAUGUAUGUAUUUUUCAUUUAACCCUCAACCCAACUUCUAGUUAUCUACUGAAGAACAAAGGCGAAGCAUUCAG